UUCCUCUACAGAAGAGUCACAGCAGAGCAGGAAGCAUAGGCCAAGCAGCCCGUAUCCAGGUUCUCCCUCAGCUCUGCACAACAGUAAGGCAGCAAGACACACCGAGCAGGGCUGAGAUGACAGCAGCACUUGGGGUAUGAUCCUGCUGCCAUCCCCUGCUGUGAUAGAAGCGGGGCACCGAGGCAGAACCGACUGCAAGGCGGCAGCAGAGCAGAGGAGGAAUGACGUAAGAUGAGGUAUGGUGUAAUUACAAUUAAUCCCUCCUGGCAUAGCCAUACUCUGUUCAGACGUCACUGGCAGGAGUUCAGUUUUGCAUCUAGAGCUCAUUUUGCUGACAAUGGCUAGCUAAAGUAAGUUGUACAAGCUGAAACAUGGCUUUGGGGCCAUGAACAGUGACCAUGGUGGACAACUGCACUGACGAACCCUCAUGGCUCAGUAACACGCGUACCUCCUCCUCCAGAGACAGAGACCAUGUGCAGAAGGGAUGAUGAUCUCUGAUCACGGGACCAAAGAUCACUCCAGUUGGCUUCAGGCAAGCGGAAGCCACAGCAUCCAUGCCCUAUCCAAGAGGAAGAAAUUGGUUGCAUCCUCCAGCUCUUGGUACAGAUUCACUGAGCUGAAUUUCUCCAAGAAGUAUUAUUGGAGAACUUGCCUGAAC
Molecule: long non-coding RNA, 658 nt
Organism: Cygnus olor (mute swan)
Lineage: Eukaryota; Metazoa; Chordata; Aves; Anseriformes; Anatidae
Exons: 3
Source: RefSeq, a predicted model, not a curated record